GACAGUUCCCAUCUAAAGAGAAUUUCAUUUCCAAACAUCUGGAGACUAUAUAUCUGUCAUGGGUUUGUUUUUUGAUUUUUAAUAUUCCACAUCAAAACAUCAUGUACUGGAAUUAAGGUGUUAAUGCUCUCAUUUCUACGCACCUAUCCCCAUACAUUACGGAAGUCAUGGGAUCUGACCCUUCCGGGGGGCGGUCUCUUACUGCCUGGCAGUGGGUGCUGGAGGGUGCUUUCCUGGCCGUUCCAAGCUUUUUUUCAGGUUUGACUCGGUCUCGGGAACUCUCUCUCAUAUCUUAUUUGAUUUAUUAGUCUCAAUUUUAAUUAGGUUGUAUUAUAUUGUAUUAUUUUGCAUUCCAAUAUCAUAGUUAGUAAAAUAAGUUUACCUCCAUAGAUUGUUGCCGCUGUUUUCUCUUCUUUUUCCCCCUUCCUCCCUCCGUGGGCCAGGCGGGGGGUGGGGAGGGCAGGGGCCUACUGCCCCCCUGUCACGGGCAUAAACUGAUCUAGUUAAUUCCGUGACAGUUUUUGGUGGAGAAUGCGGGCAUAGCUGUUUUUUUCUUUUUACUUUUUGGCUCUUAGAACGAAUCUUGCUCUCUGCUCUUAGAGAGCUUCGUUAGGGAGCAUUAUCAGUAGUUCAGGUUUUUGUGCUGGAAAACUUGACCUUGAAAGACCAGGCGUACUGCCAGUAUUCUGGGAUAUUUGUAAACUUUGAGCACUGCUUAGUCUGGGUAGUGCCUUUUUCCUUUCCCCCCCUCUUGUUAGUUUCAAUUCAUUAACCCUUUUUGAGCAGAAACCAGCGAUGAACCCACUCUUUUUCGUGGGAGCGCUGAGUAAGGGAUUAAACGCCAUGGUGUUACUCGCGACCUACUGGCCAAUCAUCAAUUUCAUAAUGACUUGUUUUGGAAUUGUGUCCAUAUGUAACCACAUAAGGGCACUGAUGGAGACGCCUUUAUGGUACCUAUAUUGGUACCUAUAUGCCAUGUGGUAUGAUGUGAGUUUCGAUACUUACAUCCCGGAUGGAAUGGCUAAUUUUACAAGCAACUACAUCCCAAAUGGAAUUGCUAAUUUUACAAACCACACGAUGUUCAAACCAGUUUCCCGGUUUUCCUCUCAGUUUAUCAGACGUUUUUUCAGUGCUGAGUUAACUUUCACAUGUAUGGGCGUAACAGUCCUCCUGUUCAUAUCAGUCUUCCUGAAUGUAUUUCUAUACAGGAUUAUAAUUAAGCGGAAGGAGUCUCCUCCAAAACCAGAGAAUGCUGACUGGCAGGGAAUAUGGAGAGAGAUAGGAAACAUCUUAGAAGCAUGGGGACCCACAAUGUCAUGGGACUUCACUCUUGAGCACCUGUGGGAUCCCCGGAAACUUGGCCAGUAUUUGAGACAGGGGCAGUGUGGCUUAGGUAAAUCUAAGGAGGUACAACUUAUUUGGGGUUUGGCCUAUGCUUACCGUGCCCUAUAUAAUACUGUUUUGGAGAGAGAGAGUUUCCGAGCUGAGGUUCAAGCCAAAGGGGAGAAUUCCCAAGUCAAAUCUGAUCAGUUACAGAAGACACCAGUAACAAUAUCAGUUGCCCCUGUGGAGGGCAAGAAAUGGAAACGAGUGUCCUCGCGUCUAGAACGGAAAAAAGAAGAAGAAGAAGAGGAGGAGGUGGAGGAAGAUCUAGGUGAGGGGCCCUCCUCGGAACCACCAACAUCAAGAAAGGCAAAAGGAAAAACUAAGAGACAUGCAGAAGAGAGUGAUGAAGAGGAAGUUUCUAUUACUACUCGUCGGCCUCUGAAGAUGACUGAAAUCCAAGGCUCAAGAAAGGAAUUUAUACGGCGCCCAGAUGAAACUAUUGUUUCCUGGUUAGUUCGCUGUUGGGACGACGGGGCCAGUAGCUUGUCUCUAGAUGGUAAUGAAGCUCGCCAACUAGGAGCAAUUGCCAGAGAUCCAGCUAUUGACAGAGGAAUUAGCCGAUGUCUGGACGGGGCUGCCUCCCUCUGGGAACGAAUAUUAAUAGCCGUGAAGGAGAGGUACCCCUUCAAAGAUGGCUUGAAGCCUGUGGCGAAAAGGUGGGAGACGGUUGAAAAGGGUAUCCAGUAUUUGAGGGAGAUAGCCGUGGUGGAAAUGUUGUAUGACCCUAACUGUGUUUUUAACGACCCACGCCAAGGCCACGACCCUGAGAAAGUGAGAACGACGCCUGAAAUAUGGCAGAAACUCACAUCAACAGCACCAGCCAGAUACGCCUCUGCACUAUUGUCAGCAUCUGAGAGAUACAAGGACCAACAGAGAAGCCCCUUAGUUUUUGAAUUGAUUCUUACGCUCCAAAGCUAUGAACAACAGCUACCCCCAACUCGCGCCGCCAUCGCCGCCAUCUCACAAAUGACGGAGCAACUGAAUGAAAUGCAAGAGCAAAUGGAGCAAAUGUCUUCACUGAUGAAUCAUGACAAACCUGUAGAAGUAUCAGAAACGCUUGAUGAAGAUCGGAAUAGUCAAAAGAGUCUGAUGAAGGAGCUGGUGAAACUAAUGCGGAUCCAACUAGCUAAAGACGAUGAACCCUCCUUCUCAGGUGCACCAUCAAAAAUCUCAGCUGUCAGAGGCAAACGCUCUCCAGCUCCAGGAAGGAAUCCUACAUUGCGACUUGCCUUGUGGCGUUACUUACGUGACCAUGGAGAAGAUAUGAGGAAGUGGCACGACCA
This 2669-nucleotide long non-coding RNA is filed under the name Chrysolophus pictus (golden pheasant). RNAcentral's name for it is "lncRNA (ENSCPIG00010009342.1)". The record is from RNAcentral. Lineage: Eukaryota; Metazoa; Chordata; Aves; Galliformes; Phasianidae.